This is a long non-coding RNA of Danio aesculapii, 509 nucleotides long. RefSeq lists it as uncharacterized. The transcript is spliced from 3 exons. The record is from RefSeq and is a predicted model, not a curated record. Lineage: Eukaryota; Metazoa; Chordata; Actinopteri; Cypriniformes; Danionidae.
GGAGCGCGCGCCUGUGUGUGUGUGUGUGUGUGUGUGUGCGCUGGAUCAGAGCUCUGCAUAAAAUUCCGACGUCAUGAAUCCUCUGGCUGCACUGCCUCUUGCAUAUGGGCAUAUGCGGAAAUGCUUUUUGUGAAAAUUGAUGUGUUCUUUCAGUAUAAAGGCUGUAACUCCAGCUCUUGGUUCAGGACAGCUCAUUCUCUGCUUUUAUGAACACAUCACAGGGGAACACCUACAAUUCAGCGGCAGAUACUGACUCCCCCACUCCCAUGCUGAAACAAUGCCGUGCUGACCUAUAACUUGUGGGUCCCUCCACUUGAUGAAUUGUGUCAUCCUGGUCCACAGAAGUGCUGACCCGAACACAAGCCGCUCUCAAUGAUUUCCUGUAGUUGGCAGAACACAGUGAGUGAUGAAUGAACAUCUCUGAUCCAUCAAUCGCAGGGUCUGAAGUCGCUCUGUUCAAAGAAGUGUAAUUUCACUUCAACAUGUUUGGCUGAGAUCCGCUUUGGUAA